CUCUCCAACGGAGAUCGCCUCGCCCUAGUGCGCCAUGUCCUGAGUGCCAUGCCUAUCCAUCUUCUGCUGGCUAUGGCCCUCUCGCCACCCAUCGUGAAACUCGUGAAUAGACUAAUCCGAGACAUCCUCUGGCACGGCCAGAAAGAGGCCCGGUCCGGAAACUGCCUCAUGAACUGGCAAAGUGUAUGCCUCCCCCUCGACCAGGGAGGACUCGGCAUGCGUGACAUCCAGCGUACCAGCAUCUCCCUCCGUGCAAGAUGGCUCUGA
RNAcentral lists this ribosomal RNA (267 nucleotides) under Triticum aestivum (bread wheat). RNAcentral's name for it is "partial small subunit ribosomal RNA". The record is from RNAcentral. Lineage: Eukaryota; Viridiplantae; Streptophyta; Magnoliopsida; Poales; Poaceae.